Molecule: non-coding RNA, 109 nt
Filed under: Acidovorax sp. CF316
Lineage: Bacteria; Pseudomonadati; Pseudomonadota; Betaproteobacteria; Burkholderiales; Comamonadaceae
Also listed under: 1 other name
Description: Glycine riboswitch aptamer
Rfam family: Glycine riboswitch aptamer
About the family: This family represents the bacterial glycine riboswitch. Glycine riboswitches usually consist of two metabolite-binding aptamers domains with similar structures in tandem.
Source: Rfam by way of RNAcentral
UCAAGGCCGUCUGGAGAGCCGCUACGCCAUGUAGCGCACCGAAGGAGCAAGCCGCAGCCCAUGAGGGGCGGCGGUGAAUCUCUCAGGUACCAAGGACAGGGGGAGCGGC